This 305-nucleotide unclassified non-coding RNA is filed under the name plant metagenome. RNAcentral's name for it is "partial contains 5.8S ribosomal RNA, internal transcribed spacer 2, and large subunit ribosomal RNA". The stretch from base 1 to 105 matches the Rfam family "5.8S ribosomal RNA", at positions 50 to 154 of the family's 154-position model. The record is from RNAcentral.
GAAAUGCGAUAAGUAGUGUGAAUUGCAGAAUUCAGUGAAUCAUCGAAUCUUUGAACGCACAUUGCGCCCUUUGGUAUUCCUUAGGGCAUGCCUGUUCGAGCGUCAUCUAAACCUUCAAGCCCUGCUUGGUGUUGGGUGCCUGUCCCGCCUCCGCGCGCGGACUCACCUCAAAUCCAUUGGCGGCCCCCGCGUCGGCCACGAGCGCAGCAGAAACGCGAACUCGUGAGCCCGUUCGGGCGGCUCCCAGAAGCUACACCCACCCAGUUUGACCUCGGAUCAGGUAGGGAUACCCGCUGAACUUAAGC